RNAcentral lists this transfer RNA (74 nucleotides) under Sulfolobus acidocaldarius DSM 639. RNAcentral describes it as "tRNA-Met". It matches the Rfam family "tRNA". Rfam says of the family: Transfer RNA (tRNA) molecules are approximately 80 nucleotides in length. Their secondary structure includes four short double-helical elements and three loops (D, anti-codon, and T loops). The record is from RNAcentral. Lineage: Archaea; Thermoproteati; Thermoproteota; Thermoprotei; Sulfolobales; Sulfolobaceae.
GCCGCCGUAGCUCAGCCUGGUUAGAGCGCCGGACUCAUACUAUCCGGUUGUCCGGGGUUCAAAUCCCCGCGGCG